CCUACGGGUGGCAGCAGUGAGGAAUAUUGGUCAAUGGGCGAGAGCCUGAACCAGCCAAGUCGCGUGAGGGAGUACUGCCCUAUGGGUUGUAAACCUCUUUUGUCGGGGAGCAAAAGCCGGACGUGUCCGGCUGUGAGAGUACCCGAAGAAAAAGCAUCGGCUAACUCCGUGCCAGCAGCCGCGGUAAUACGGAGGAUGCGAGCGUGAUCCGGAUUUAUUGGGUUUAAAGGGUGCGCAGGCGGAUUUUUAAGUCAGCGGUAAAAUCGUGGGGCUCAACCCCAUCCAGCCGUUGAAACUGGGGAUCUAGAGUGUGCGAGAGGUAUGCGGAAUGCGUGGUGUAGCGGUGAAAUGCAUAGAUAUCACGCAGAACCCCGAUUGCGAAGGCAGCAUACCGGUGCACAACUGACGCUCAGGCACGAAAGCGUGGGUAUCGAACAGGAUUAGAUACCCCGGUAGUC
Molecule: ribosomal RNA, 458 nt
Filed under: uncultured bacterium
Lineage: Bacteria
Description: partial 16S ribosomal RNA
Rfam family: Bacterial small subunit ribosomal RNA
Source: RNAcentral